AUUGAACGCUGGCGGCAGGCCUAACACAUGCAAGUCGAGCGGAUGAAGGGAGCUUGCUCCUGGAUUCAGCGGCGGACGGGUGAGUAAUGCCUAGGAAUCUGCCUGGUAGUGGGGGAUAACGUCCGGAAACGGGCGCUAAUACCGCAUACGUCCUGAGGGAGAAAGUGGGGGAUCUUCGGACCUCACGCUAUCAGAUGAGCCUAGGUCGGAUUAGCUAGUUGGUGGGGUAAAGGCCUACCAAGGCGACGAUCCGUAACUGGUCUGAGAGGAUGAUCAGUCACACUGGAACUGAGACACGGUCCAGACUCCUACGGGAGGCAGCAGUGGGGAAUAUUGGGCAAUGGGCGAAAGCCUGAUCCAGCCGUGCCGCGUGUGUGAAGAAGGUCUUCGGAUUGUAAAGCACUUUAAGUUGGGAGGAAGGGCAGUAAGUUAAUACCUUGCUGUUUUGACGUUACCAACAGAAUAAGCACCGGCUAACUUCGUG
This 484-nucleotide ribosomal RNA is filed under the name uncultured bacterium. RNAcentral describes it as "partial 16S ribosomal RNA". It matches the Rfam family "Bacterial small subunit ribosomal RNA", at positions 30 to 507 of the family's 1533-position model. The record is from RNAcentral.